Molecule: ribosomal RNA, 37 nt
Filed under: Absidia caerulea
Lineage: Eukaryota; Fungi; Mucoromycota; Mucoromycetes; Mucorales; Cunninghamellaceae
Description: partial 26S ribosomal RNA
Source: RNAcentral
UGAUCGGAAAUCAGGGGGGAUUACCCGCUGAACUUAA